Molecule: ribosomal RNA, 2908 nt
Filed under: Escherichia coli
Lineage: Bacteria; Pseudomonadati; Pseudomonadota; Gammaproteobacteria; Enterobacterales; Enterobacteriaceae
Description: bacterial LSU rRNA
Source: RNAcentral
UUAAGCRACUAAGCGUACACGGUGGAUGCCCUGGCAGUCAGAGGCGAUGAAGGACGUGCUAAUCUGCGAUAAGCGUCGGUAAGGUGAUAUGAACCGUUAUAACCGGCGAUUUCCGAAUGGGGAAACCCAGUGUGUUUCGACACACUAUCAUUAACUGAAUCCAUAGGUUAAUGAGGCGAACCGGGGGAACUGAAACAUCUAAGUACCCCGAGGAAAAGAAAUCAACCGAGAUUCCCCCAGUAGCGGCGAGCGAACGGGGAGSAGCCCAGAGYCUGAAUCAGUGUGUGUGUUAGUGGAAGCGUCUGGAAAGGCGCGCGAUACAGGGUGACAGCCCCGUACACAAAAAUGCACAUGCUGUGAGCUCGAUGAGUAGGGCGGGACACGUGGUAUCCUGUCUGAAUAUGGGGGGACCAUCCUCCAAGGCUAAAUACUCCUGACUGACCGAUAGUGAACCAGUACCGUGAGGGAAAGGCGAAAAGAACCCCGGCGAGGGGAGUGAAAAAGAACCUGAAACCGUGUACGUACAAGCAGUGGGAGCACGCUUAGGCGUGUGACUGCGUACCUUUUGUAUAAUGGGUCAGCGACUUAUAUUCUGUAGCAAGGUUAACCGAAUAGGGGAGCCGAAGGGAAACCGAGUCUUAACUGGGCGUUAAGUUGCAGGGUAUAGACCCGAAACCCGGUGAUCUAGCCAUGGGCAGGUUGAAGGUUGGGUAACACUAACUGGAGGACCGAACCGACUAAUGUUGAAAAAUUAGCGGAUGACUUGUGGCUGGGGGUGAAAGGCCAAUCAAACCGGGAGAUAGCUGGUUCUCCCCGAAAGCUAUUUAGGUAGCGCCUCGUGAAUUCAUCUCCGGGGGUAGAGCACUGUUUCGGCAAGGGGGUCAUCCCGACUUACCAACCCGAUGCAAACUGCGAAUACCGGAGAAUGUUAUCACGGGAGACACACGGCGGGUGCUAACGUCCGUCGUGAAGAGGGAAACAACCCAGACCGCCAGCUAAGGUCCCAAAGUCAUGGUUAAGUGGGAAACGAUGUGGGAAGGCCCAGACAGCCAGGAUGUUGGCUUAGAAGCAGCCAUCAUUUAAAGAAAGCGUAAUAGCUCACUGGUCGAGUCGGCCUGCGCGGAAGAUGUAACGGGGCUAAACCAUGCACCGAAGCUGCGGCAGCGACRCUGUGUGUUGUUGGGUAGGGGAGCGUUCUGUAAGCCUGUGAAGGUGUACUGUGAGGUAUGCUGGAGGUAUCAGAAGUGCGAAUGCUGACAUAAGUAACGAUAAAGCGGGUGAAAAGCCCGCUCGCCGGAAGACCAAGGGUUCCUGUCCAACGUUAAUCGGGGCAGGGUGAGUCGACCCCUAAGGCGAGGCCGAAAGGCGUAGUCGAUGGGAAACAGGUUAAUAUUCCUGUACUUGGUGUUACUGCGAAGGGGGGACGGAGAAGGCUAUGUUGGCCGGGCGACGGUUGUCCCGGUUUAAGCGUGUAGGCUGGUUUUCCAGGCAAAUCCGGAAAAUCAAGGCUGAGGCGUGAUGACGAGGCACUACGGUGCUGAAGCAACAAAUGCCCUGCUUCCAGGAAAAGCCUCUAAGCAUCAGGUAACAUCAAAUCGUACCCCAAACCGACACAGGUGGUCAGGUAGAGAAUACCAAGGCGCUUGAGAGAACUCGGGUGAAGGAACUAGGCAAAAUGGUGCCGUAACUUCGGGAGAAGGCACGCUGAUAURUAGGUGAAGUCCCUCGCGGAUGGAGCUGAAAUCAGUCGAAGAUACCAGCUGGCUGCAACUGUUUAUUAAAAACACAGCACUGUGCAAACACGAAAGUGGACGUAUACGGUGUGACGCCUGCCCGGUGCCGGAAGGUUAAUUGAUGGGGUUAGCCGCAAGGCGAAGCUCUUGAUCGAAGCCCCGGUAAACGGCGGCCGUAACUAUAACGGUCCUAAGGUAGCGAAAUUCCUUGUCGGGUAAGUUCCGACCUGCACGAAUGGCGUAAUGAUGGCCAGGCUGUCUCCACCCGAGACUCAGUGAAAUUGAACUCGCUGUGAAGAUGCAGUGUACCCGCGGCAAGACGGAAAGACCCCGUGAACCUUUACUAUAGCUUGACACUGAACAUUGAGCCUUGAUGUGUAGGAUAGGUGGGAGGCUUUGAAGUGUGGACGCCAGUCUGCAUGGAGCCGACCUUGAAAUACCACCCUUUAAUGUUUGAUGUUCUAACGUUGACCCGUAAUCCGGGUUGCGGACAGUGUCUGGUGGGUAGUUUGACUGGGGCGGUCUCCUCCUAAAGAGUAACGGAGGAGCACGAAGGUUGGCUAAUCCUGGUCGGACAUCAGGAGGUUAGUGCAAUGGCAUAAGCCAGCUUGACUGCGAGCGUGACGGCGCGAGCAGGUGCGAAAGCAGGUCAUAGUGAUCCGGUGGUUCUGAAUGGAAGGGCCAUCGCUCAACGGAUAAAAGGUACUCCGGGGAUAACAGGCUGAUACCGCCCAAGAGUUCAUAUCGACGGCGGUGUUUGGCACCUCGAUGUCGGCUCAUCACAUCCUGGGGCUGAAGUAGGUCCCAAGGGUAUGGCUGUUCGCCAUUUAAAGUGGUACGCGAGCUGGGUUUAGAACGUCGUGAGACAGUUCGGUCCCUAUCUGCCGUGGGCGCUGGAGAACUGAGGGGGGCUGCUCCUAGUACGAGAGGACCGGAGUGGACGCAUCACUGGUGUUCGGGUUGUCAUGCCAAUGGCACUGCCCGGUAGCUAAAUGCGGAAGAGAUAAGUGCUGAAAGCAUCUAAGCACGAAACUUGCCCCGAGAUGAGUUCUCCCUGACCUUAACCUUACAACGCCGAAGAUGUUUUGGCGGAUUGAGAGAAUUUCAGCUUUGAUUCAGAGUCCGAAGGAUUUUGCGCUGAGACAAGGCGGCAAAUGAAGCGAAGGAAGGAGCAU